GUUCGAUCCAUGGCUCAGAUUGAACGCUGGCGGGAUGCUUUUACACAUGCAAGUCGAACAGCAGCACGAACCUGGUCUGGUGGCGAGUGGCGAACGGGUGAGUAAUGCAUCGGAACGUGCCUAGUAGCGGGGAUAACUACGCGAAAGCGUAGCUAAUACCGCAUACGCCCUUCGGGGGAAAGCGGGGGACCUUCGGGCCUCGCACUAUUAGAAGCAGCAGCCGAUAUCGGAUUAGCUAGUUGGUGGGGUAACGGCUCACCAAGGCGACGAUCCGUAGCUGGUUUGAGAGGACGACCAGCUGCACUGGGACUGGACACGGCCCCAGACUCCUACGAGGAGGCAGCAGUGGGAAUUUUGGACAAUGGGGAAACCCUGAUCCAGCCAUCCGCGUGUGCGAUGAAGGCCUUCGGGUUAUAAAACGCACGGCGGGAAAGAAACGGCGCAGGGAUAAACCUGCCGUGCAACUGACAGUACCUGCAGAAUAAGCACCAGCUAACUACGUGCCAGCAGCCGCCGAUAUUACGUAGGGUGCAAGCGUUAAUCGGAAUUUACUGGGCGUAAAGCGUGCGCAGGCGGUUCGGAAGAAGAUCAUGAAAUCAGGGGAAAGCAGCUUUGGAACUGCAUUUUUAACUACCGAGCUAGAAGUGUGUCAGUUGGGUCCGGUGUAGCAGUGAAAUGCGUAGAUAUGCGGAGGAACACUGGAAUGGCGAGAUGGCCUCUGGGAUAAACACUGACGCUCAUGGAGACAUUGGGGAGCAAACAGGAUUCUAGAUACCCUGGUAGUCCACGCCCUAAACGAUGUCAACUAGCUGUUGGGGCCUUCGGACACGCUGGUAGCGCAACUAACGCGUGAAGUUGACCGCCUGGGAGUACGGUGCGAGAUUUAAAACUCAAAAUUGACGGGGACCCGCACAAGCGGUGGGAUGAUGUGGAUUAAUUCGAUGCAACACCCGAAAAACCUUACCUACCCUUGACAUGUCUGGAAUCCCGAGAGAUUUGGGAGUGCUCGCAAGAGAACCCGGAACACAGGUGCUGCAUGAGGGCAGUAGUCAGCUCGUGUCGUGAGAUGUUGGGUUAAGUCCUAACCAGGCGCAACCCUUAUCAUUAGUUGCUACGAAGGACACUCUAAUGAGACUGCCGGUGACAAACCGGAGGAAGGUGGGGAUGACGUCAGUCCUCAUGGCCAUAUGGGUAGGACUUCACACGAUCAUACAAUGGUCGGGACAGAGGGUCGCAGCCGCGAGGGAGCCAAUCCCAAAAACCCGAUCGUAGUCCGGAUCGCAGUCUGCAACUCGACUGCGUGAAGUCGGAAUCGCUAGUAAUCGCGGAUCAGCAUGUCGCGGUGAAUACGUUCCCGGGUCUUGUACACACCAACGCCCGUCACACCAUGGGAGUGGGUUUUACCAGAAGUAGUUAGCCUAACCAAUGGAGGGCGAUUACCACGGUAGGAUUCAUGACUGGGGUGAAGUCGUAACAAGGUAA
This 1482-nucleotide ribosomal RNA is filed under the name uncultured Bordetella sp. Its description in RNAcentral is "partial 16S-23S ribosomal RNA intergenic spacer". It matches the Rfam family "Bacterial small subunit ribosomal RNA". Lineage: Bacteria; Pseudomonadati; Pseudomonadota; Betaproteobacteria; Burkholderiales; Alcaligenaceae. The record is from RNAcentral.